AUGUUUGACCUUUUACAAAUGGAAUGGUUUCCUGCAGGUCAUGGUUCUGUACUGAGUGCUGCUGGUUAUGUGCAACCUGAUGCAAUCAUUAUGAAUGGCAAAACUCUUGCUGCUGGCACAGACUCCUGCGUAAGGAGGAUUUCUAACCCAGUGACUUUUGCUUGUUUGAGUCUAAGGAAAGGAGGAAUACAUCUUUCUGCUUCAUCCAUUUUCAUCCAUUCAGUUGUAUUUCCAAAGCACAGCCUUUCUUCUGACCUGCUGCACUGCCAUCAUGGAUAUUUCUGUUCUGUUGAGGUAUUAUUGGCUAUGGAUAUGGAGUAUGUGAUAAGAGUCUGAGUUUGCGAUCAUGAAUUUGGCAAAUGGAUUUACGCACGGGAGAUGGUGGGAUGCUGGAGGUGCAAUUCUACUUGGCCAGUUUGUGAUUAAAUUAUGGAGAAGAUCGGUAUAUCCAUAAAGUUACACUUUUUAGUAGUUACAACUUCUAUAUCUAAGUAAAUAGCAAGUGAUACUAUGGAAAAUAUCUCCUCUAAUGUGGAAGAGACUUUGCAGAGCAUGGAUUGCCACAGAAACUGAAACUGCUUUUGCUGAUAUCUCUGAUGGUGCUGUAUGAGUAGAUCACUUCCGAGAACUUUUUUACUAGGAUAUUUUCUUAUGAAAAAAGUGUGUGCUCAGUCUGGAGAUGCUUUAUACAGACAUACAGUUGUUUCUAAGAAGACUUUCAUUUUAGUUCCACAAAAUGGAUAUCCAGAAUUAAGAAGUUACUUGUUGGAGAGCUAGGACAUGUCCUAAAGGCAAAAAUAUUGAUCUUGUCAUUGCCUAAAUCAUUGGAUUUACAGUUCUGUUCCAUAUGUGGUAACAGGAAGUUGGAUCUAACUUGUGAUGUUUUCUGUCGUAAUAGAGGGAUACAUCUGAGUUCUGAUUUCCAGAUCUGACAGAUUUGCCUGAUAGUUGCUUAUUAAUAACGAUUUGCAAAUUAUGGUAAUUUUCACCAAACUUUAAAAAAAGUACGAAUAUAAGUUUGCUUUUUUAUUUUUUUAUUUAUUUUUUAUUAUUUAUUAUUGUUGAACUAUGCUUUGCUGAAUAAUCAGGUUUUUUUGCAUCUGAAAUUAGGGUAUCUGAAGCCAUCUUUUAUUCUAAGCACUUAUUGCCAUUAAUAAUUAGAGCCUUUCUGCUAUGUAGCCAAAUGAGGAAUGCUUGUCUGACAGAAUUUUUGAAUGCUCUGUAUUUCAGUUAAAUCAGAGAUGCAAAUACUUAAGGACAUAAUACAAGUUUGUGUCAAGGGGACUUUAGAUAUGUAAACUAUUAAAUGGAGCAUGCACAACUCUAUCUGGAAGAUCCAGAAGCAUUUAUUUAUUAUCCUAGUGUAUAAGUAUCACUUACAAUUUGAAUGGCGGGGGAAAAAAGCCCACUGAAGGAACACAGCAUUUUAGGUGUGUUCUCUGAGAAAGGUGUAGUUUACUUUUUAUGUUAGCAAAUACUUACAGAGGUGAAGUGUUUAAUGUGUUUCAUGGGUUUUGAAACACAGAGAUGUAUCUGAUGCGUAUUUUCCCUUCAAGAGUGAAAUCUAUUUUUAAAAUUUGACCAGCUGCUAAACUAUCUGAUUCUUUAAAGCUUGAUAUACUUUUUGAAUUUGGUUCCUGCCGUAUACAGAAAGACAGUCAUAGUACAAUUUUAAAGUUGUUCUCCAAGGCAUGAGGUUUAAAGCAUGUCUUCUGAUUUUCUUCUCUAAGAAGAUGAAAUCUGAAAAAAAAAAAAAAAAAAAAAAANNNNNNNNNNNNNNNNNNNNNNNNNNNNNNNNNNNNNNNNNNNNNNNNNNNNNNNNNNNNNNNNNNNNNNNNNNNNNNNNNNNNNNNUUAAAAAAUAUCUUCUUAUUUUUUUUCUAAAAAGAAGAAAUCUAAAAAAAAAAAAAAAAAAAAAAAAAAGAUUUUAAUUUUCUGCACUAUUCAGAGAAAAGUUAUGCAAUCUAUUUCAAUUUUCAAUCAAUUUCCUAUGACGUACAGUUUCCUCCUAGCCCCAAAUUAUUACUCCUUCAGAACUAUUUUACUCUAUCCCAUAGUUGCUUCUAAUGCCUCAUAUCACUUAAAUAGGAAUCAGCUAAUUUAUAAGUAUUGUUACGUAAGUCGCAUAUAUACACUAACUGUAGGCUCCAAAAAGUGAUUAGAAGCAGCUUUAAAGGAACAUGGUCAAAGUUAAGCAGCUCACAUUUGGACAGCUCAAACAUGAAAAGAAAUGUUCAGUUUUAUUGGGGAGUAUUUUAAAAAUUUAAAAUAUCAUUUGGAGAUGGAAAAAGGUCAACCUGUAAUGCUUCUCAGGUAGUUUACAUUAAUGACCCUUGUCUGACAAACUUCCCAAUAAUCUCAGGUAGGAACCUUGGUUAACUUUCUGUUUUAUUUAACAAUUUCUAGUUAAGCAUCAUUUCGUUAGGCAAGAUUAUGUUCUGGUACAAGUGAAAUAGUUCUGCCAACACUUCAUAAAAGGAGUAUCUGCAUGUCAUUUUGUUUAAUGGAAGGGCGUCAUCUUUGUUAAUUGCAUGCAGCACAGAAUGGACUAAGCAAAUUGAGUUCUGGAUAUUGGUCAGACACUGAAGAAAAUGAUGGGAAACAUCAAUCAGUGGUUUUCCAGUACUGUUGGCAUCAUUCAAAAAAAAUUCAAAGCUCUUUGCAGAUAGAACUUGCCGUCCCCAUGAGUGGUUUAAAUAUUAAUUACUUUGGUAUCUGUUUUAUUCUCAUAUGUUUAUCUUUAUAUUAUGUGACAAUAUUGCAGCCAAAAAUUUUUAGUGCCUUCUAUUUUUACAGAUUUUCACAAAGUCAGAAUCAUAGAAUGGUUGAGAUUGGGAGGGUCCUCUAGAGAUCAUCUAGUCCAACCCUCUGCCAAGCAGGGUCACCUUGAGCACUGAAUGGCAGCACAGCCCUCUGGUGGAUCAGACACCCCUCCCAAUUUUGUGUCAUCAGCAAACUUGCUGAGGGUGCACUCUAUUCCAUCAUUCAGGUCACUGAUGAACAAGAAUGGACCCAGUACUGACACCUGGGGGACACCGCUACCUACAGGUCUCCAACCAGACUGCACCACUGAGUCAGUUUCAAUUACAUAUAUAUCCUUGUGGAGACAUUUUAACAAUUGAAUUAAUUUAUACUGAAGAGAAGCUGUUUAUACUUUUCUUAUUAGUAAUACAAAACCAUAACUAAGCAAUUUUAAAGCAAUUUUUUGGGGUGAAUAUUAUUAAAGUUCAGAGCUUCGUAAUUUCUUACAUAAGUGCAAGUGACAUACAAAUACUUGCUGUUGAAAUGUUGAAAUGUGUAUAUAAAAAAUAGUGUUAUCAUUACUUGUACAUUAACUGUACAAGUAUCUGUACAGUGACUAAUUUAGAUUUAGACAACUAACAUUCUGAUGGUCAAAAUUAAAUAAAUUUAAUUCUCAUGUUCCGAUACUGUACUUU
This is a long non-coding RNA of Anser cygnoides (Swan goose), 3436 nucleotides long. The record is from Ensembl. NCBI's taxonomy places the organism in Eukaryota, Metazoa, Chordata, Aves, Anseriformes, Anatidae.